GAUAUUCACUUGGGAUCAGCCUGAAACAGCCCUCUUCAUGUUGAAUUUUUUUUUUUAAGAAAAUUCAGCUUGCUGAAUCUGAACGAAGCCUGGAUCGCGAUCAACACUUGAUCUCUUUUCUUGAUCUUCUUCUUCUCUUCUUCUUUUGCCUUUCUUCCUUGAAUUAUGCUGCUACCAGCAGGUAGAAACCAGCAUAAGGUGGAUGCCCAACUGCCCUUGGCGUG
Molecule: long non-coding RNA, 224 nt
Filed under: Elaeis guineensis (African oil palm)
Lineage: Eukaryota; Viridiplantae; Streptophyta; Magnoliopsida; Arecales; Arecaceae
Description: long non-coding RNA (EGUI_LNC041043)
Source: RNAcentral